This 253-nucleotide ribosomal RNA is filed under the name uncultured bacterium. RNAcentral's name for it is "partial 16S ribosomal RNA". It matches the Rfam family "Bacterial small subunit ribosomal RNA", at positions 524 to 776 of the family's 1533-position model. The record is from RNAcentral.
UACAGAGACUGCAAGCGUUAUUCGGAUUCACUGGGCGUAAAGGGUGCGCAGGCGGUUGGGUGUGUCAGAUGUGAAAUCCCGAGGCUUAACCUCGGAACUGCGUCUGGAACUACUCGACUAGAGUACUGGAGAGGGAAACGGAAUUCACGGUGUAGCAGUGAAAUGCGUAGAUAUCGUGAGGAACACCAGAGGCGAAGGCGGUUUCCUGGACAGUUACUGACGCUCAGGCACGAAAGCAUGGGGAGCAAAAGGG